UUGGGAGCUCACUGACUUCGGAGUCGUAGGAACUCCGAAGUUAAGCGAGUUGGGGGCUUGAGCAAUCCCAAGAUGGGUGACCUACUGGGAAGUUGCUCGUGAGUUCCCAGA
Non-coding RNA from Prunus persica (peach), 111 nucleotides. NCBI's taxonomy places the organism in Eukaryota, Viridiplantae, Streptophyta, Magnoliopsida, Rosales, Rosaceae. The record is from Rfam.